RNAcentral lists this ribosomal RNA (448 nucleotides) under uncultured bacterium. Its description in RNAcentral is "bacterial SSU rRNA". It matches the Rfam family "Bacterial small subunit ribosomal RNA", at positions 64 to 507 of the family's 1533-position model. The record is from RNAcentral.
GAGCGGAUGACGGGAGCUUGCUCCUUGAUUCAGCGGCGGACGGGUGAGUAAUGCCUAGGAAUCUGCCUGGUAGUGGGGGACAACGUUUCGAAAGGAACGCUAAUACCGCAUACGUCCUACGGGAGAAAGCAGGGGACCUUUGGGCCUUGCGCUAUCAGAUGAGCCUAGGUCGGAUUAGCUAGUUGGUGGGGUAAUGGCUCACCAAGGCGACGAUCCGUAACUGGUCUGAGAGGAUGAUCAGUCACACUGGAACUGAGACACGGUCCAGACUCCUACGGGAGGCAGCAGUGGGGAACAUUGGACAAUGGGCGAAAGCCUGAUCCAGCCAUGCCGCGUGUGUGAAGAAGGUCUUCGGAUUGUAAAGCACUUUAAGUUGGGAGGAAGGGCAGUAAGUUAAUACCUUGCUGUUUUGACGUUACCGACAGAAUAAGCACCGGCUAACUCUGUG